RNAcentral lists this transfer RNA (68 nucleotides) under Marmota monax (woodchuck). RNAcentral's name for it is "tRNA.Ala". The stretch from base 5 to 65 matches the Rfam family "tRNA", at positions 6 to 65 of the family's 71-position model. From Rfam's summary of the family: Transfer RNA (tRNA) molecules are approximately 80 nucleotides in length. The record is from RNAcentral. Lineage: Eukaryota; Metazoa; Chordata; Mammalia; Rodentia; Sciuridae.
GGCCUGUAGCUCAGUGGUAAAGUGCCUGCCUAGCAUGCAUGAGGCCCUGGGUUCAAUCCUCAGCACCA